GCUAUUUCUUUUUUAUUUUUUCUUAAUUUAGUCAAUCUAUCAUGAAAAGUAAAAAGGGGUAAAGUAACUUUGUGUUGAUUUUUUUCUAAAUGUAAGUUUUCUUCUUCUGCAUGUAGAAAAGGAAUAAAAAAAUCAAUCAAAUUCCGGGAGGCUUCGUGAAGUGCUUCUUUAGGAGUUAAACUUCCAUUUGUCCAUAUUUCGAGAAAAAGUAUCUCUUGCUUUUCAUUCCCAUUUCCAUAAGAAUGAACACUAUGAUUCGCAUUUCGAACAGGCAUGAAUACAGCAUCUAUAGAAUAACUUCCGUCUUGAACUUGAAAGUUAUUUGUUGGGUUUAUACGAUAGCCGCGAUUCCUCUCGAU
This 359-nucleotide unclassified non-coding RNA is filed under the name Hevea brasiliensis (rubber tree). Lineage: Eukaryota; Viridiplantae; Streptophyta; Magnoliopsida; Malpighiales; Euphorbiaceae. The record is from RNAcentral.